UACUGUUAGGGAGAAUGUUUUAGUCGUCUGGAUAAAAUCAGCCACAACAUUCCCUUAAGCCAAAGCCUAAUCCAGAGCAAAGCCCCAACUCUCUUCAAUUGUAUGAAGGCUAAGAGAUAUGAGGAAGGUGCAGGAGAAAAAGUUGAAGCUGGCAGAUGUUGGUUCCUGCGGUUCAAGGAAAGAAGUGGUCUCCAUAACAUAAAUGUGCAAGGCUAGUCAAAUGAAGCAGCGGGAGUGAAGAAGGAACAAAGAAGUCUAUUAACUGGUUGUGAUCAAUUUGUUGUAAAAUACAACCUCCCUGGGACUA
This is a long non-coding RNA of Callithrix jacchus (white-tufted-ear marmoset), 307 nucleotides long. RefSeq lists it as uncharacterized. The record is from RefSeq and is a predicted model, not a curated record. NCBI's taxonomy places the organism in Eukaryota, Metazoa, Chordata, Mammalia, Primates, Cebidae.